CAAUGGUGGAUGGAUGGAUGGAUGGAUGGACAUCAGGAUCAAUGAAUGAAGGAAUUAUGAAUCAGUGAUGGAUGGAUGGAUGGAGAAGCGGAUGGAUGGAUGGAUGGACAAACGGACAUCAGGAGCAGUGAAGGAUGGAUGAAUCGAUGAUGGAUGGAUGAAUGGAUCGAUGGAUGGAUGGAGAAGCGGAUGGAUGGAUGGAUGGACAAACGGACAUCAGGAGCAGUGAAGGAUGGAUGGGUGGAUGGAUGAAUGGGCAUCAGGAGCAAUAAAGGAUGGAUUGAUGGAUGGAUGGAUAAAUAUAUAUUUUACUAGGUCUGAGGAGCAUGUUACAAAACUAUAAGGGGAAAAUAAUACAUUUUGCUGAAAUUGCUAUUAUUAAUUAUAUGAACACAGUAAAGUCAGUAUCAACUAAAUAUGAGGGUUAAAUGACACAACUGAGAACUCCAUCAAAUCUCCUGGGCUUUGAAAGAGCGAUAAAAUAUUCCUCUGGGGUUUCAUCAAUGGAAUGCUUAUGACAGUCCACAAUAACAGGAAUAAUCUAGAGGUUUUAGCACAAAAGAAACUUUUAGUUUCAAUGGUGCAAAGGAACUGAAUAAAUGUCACAUCUGACAAUCCUCCAGGAAGGACAUAAUAGCAGUGGAGAGUCUAGCACAGGAACACUGAUUCACUCUCGCACACACAGGCGAAACAAGAGAAAGGGAGCAGGGGAAGUGGCUCUCUGUGAGGCCUGUACUCUGUAGGCUUUUGUUCUUAUUGUACUGUUUCUGGGCCUAAGAUGGUGAGGCUGCUCCGGGUUGCAUUGUUCACACUGGACCCCCUUUAUUCUGCUACAUUCAUAGAGACUCUAUUCAGAGAGGAAAACAAAGAAAGAGAGAGAGAGGAUGUGGGACAGUGUUAAAUAUAUAAUAUAUAUAACUGAACUGUAAAUGGAUAAAUUAAAUAAAUACUAAUUAGUCAAUAAUUACACAUUGAUAUUUGUAUAAAAAUAUUUUUAUAAAUCCAGAUCUCUUUUUUUUCUAACGAUCUAAUUGUAUAUCUCCUUCUCUCCAGCUGUUUGUCCUUUGGCCACCCAUGUGACCCGCCCACUGCUUGCAAUGAAAGAGCCAAAGCACCAAACAAACCCAACAUCCAACCUCACAAAACCUCUUCCGCUGUGACCGUUCAGCCCUCCUCUAACAAAAGAAUUGUUCACUGUUUUCCACUUGAGGGAAUUGUUUCUGUGACUGCUGAGUGCAAGAGGUGUCUUUCAGUGCCACUUCUCAUAUCCAGAGUCCGGUAUGAUGAUGGAGAUUCAAGGUGGCAUGGCGCAAAACAUCAUGCUUAUAGGAAAUAUGAACAGCUAUAUUCCUUGGAAGUGACAUGGAAGUAAAAAACUGCAAACAACGAGAAU
Molecule: long non-coding RNA, 1393 nt
Organism: Labeo rohita (rohu)
Lineage: Eukaryota; Metazoa; Chordata; Actinopteri; Cypriniformes; Cyprinidae
Exons: 4
Source: RefSeq, a predicted model, not a curated record